Molecule: non-coding RNA, 102 nt
Filed under: Bacillus sp. (in: firmicutes)
Lineage: Bacteria; Bacillati; Bacillota; Bacilli; Caryophanales; Bacillaceae
Also listed under: 1 other name
Description: Bacillus sp. SAM-I sequence
Rfam family: SAM riboswitch aptamer (S box leader)
About the family: The SAM riboswitch is found upstream of a number of genes which code for proteins involved in methionine or cysteine biosynthesis in Gram-positive bacteria. The SAM riboswitch acts at the level of transcription termination control. The predicted structure consists of a complex stem-loop region followed by a single stem loop terminator region.
Source: RNAcentral
UUCUUAUCAAGAGAGGUUGAGGGACUGGCCCUAUGACACCUCGGCAGCGGAGCUUUACUGAUUCUGUGCCAAAUCCAGCAAGUAAAACUUGAGAGAUAAGAA